CCUACGGGGGGCAGCAGUGGGGAAUAUUGGGCAAUGGGCGCAAGCCUGACCCAGCAACGCCGCGUGAGGGAAGAAGUCUUUCGGGUUGUAAACUUCUUUCGUCAGGGAAGAGUAGAAGACGGUACCUGACGAAUAAGCAACGGCUAACUACGUGCCAGCAGCCGCGGUAAUACGUAGGUGGCAAGCGUUGUCCGGAUUUACUGGGUGUAAAGGGCGGGCAGCCGGGUUGACAAGUCAGAUGUGAAAUCCUGCGGCUUAACCGCAGAACUGCAUUUGAAACUGUUGGUCUUGAGUACUGGAGAGGCAGGUGGAAUUCCUAGUGUAGCGGUGAAAUGCGUAGAUAUUAGGAGGAACACCAGUGGCGAAGGCGGUCUGCUGGACAGCAACUGACGGUGAGGCGCGAAAGCGUGGGGAGCAAACAGGAUUAGAUACCCUUGUAGUC
Molecule: ribosomal RNA, 442 nt
Filed under: uncultured bacterium
Lineage: Bacteria
Description: partial 16S ribosomal RNA
Rfam family: Bacterial small subunit ribosomal RNA
Source: RNAcentral